RNAcentral lists this ribosomal RNA (254 nucleotides) under uncultured prokaryote. RNAcentral describes it as "partial 16S ribosomal RNA". It matches the Rfam family "Bacterial small subunit ribosomal RNA", at positions 524 to 776 of the family's 1533-position model. The record is from RNAcentral.
GACAGAGGCCUCGAGCGUUAGGCGGAAUCACUGGGCUUAAAGCGUGUGUAGGCGGAGGCGUAAGUACCUUGUGAAAUCCCACGGCUCAACUGUGGAACUGCUGGGUAUACUGCGUCUCUUGAGUCACUCAGGGGCGAGCGGAACAGAUGGUGGAGCGGUGAAAUGCGUAGAUAUCGAGAGGAACACCUGAGGUGAAGACGGGUUGCUGGGCCGACACUGACGCUGACAGCGCGAAAGCCAGGGGAGCAAACGGG